AAACAAACAAAAACAAAAAGAGAAAACUCUGGUAUACACGGGUUAAAAACUACAAUAUAGACCAAAGGAAAAGAAAAUGAUAGAGGACCAAGAAAACGCUUUAUAACAUGACAUUAAAUGAAUAACUCAUAUGCACGACUAGAUGUGCCACUUUAUUACCUACUAUUGAUAUACUUUAGUAAAAUAUUUAUACCAUUAUACAUGUGCAUAUAUCAAGUGAAUUUGUUUUGUGUGCAUCAGUUUCAGUCAUGUUGUAAAUUCACCAAAUUACCCGCAGUGAAAAUUUUAAUCAAUUAAUUAGAA
This is a long non-coding RNA of Saccostrea cuccullata (small rock oyster), 303 nucleotides long. RefSeq lists it as uncharacterized. Lineage: Eukaryota; Metazoa; Mollusca; Bivalvia; Ostreida; Ostreidae. The transcript is spliced from 2 exons. The record is from RefSeq and is a predicted model, not a curated record.